GAUGAAGAACGCAGCGAAAUGCGAUAAGUAGUGUGAAUUGCAGAAUUCAGUGAAUCAUCGAGUCUUUGAACGCACAUUGCGCCCCCUGGUAUUCCGGGGGGCAUGCCUGUCCGAGCGUCAUUGCUGCCCUCAAGCCCGGCUUGUGUGUUGGGUCUCGUCCCCCUUCCCGGGGGGACGGGCCCGAAAGGCAGCGGCGGCACCGCGUCCGGUCCUCGAGCGUAUGGGGCUUUGUCACCCGCUCUGUAGGCCCGGCCGGCGCUUGCCGAUCAACCAAAACUUUUUUCCAGGUUGACCUCGGAUCAGGUAGGGAUACCCGCUGAACUUAAGCAUAUCAAUAAGCGGAGGA
Molecule: unclassified non-coding RNA, 346 nt
Filed under: soil metagenome
Description: partial contains 5.8S ribosomal RNA, internal transcribed spacer 2, and large subunit ribosomal RNA
Rfam family: 5.8S ribosomal RNA (bases 1-120)
Source: RNAcentral